RNAcentral lists this ribosomal RNA (497 nucleotides) under uncultured bacterium. Its description in RNAcentral is "partial 16S ribosomal RNA". It matches the Rfam family "Bacterial small subunit ribosomal RNA", at positions 28 to 507 of the family's 1533-position model. The record is from RNAcentral.
GAUGAACGCUGGCGGCGUGCCUAAUACAUGCAAGUCGAGCGAACGGACGAGAAGCUUGCUUCUCUGAUGUUAGCGGCGGACGGGUGAGUAACACGUGGAUAACCUACCUAUAAGACUGGGAUAACUUCGGGAAACCGGAGCUAAUACCGGAUAAUAUUUUGAACCGCAUGGCUCAAAAGUGAAAGACGGUCUUGCUGUCACUUAUAGAUGGAUCCGCGCUGCAUUAGCUAGUUGGUAAGGUAACGGCUUACCAAGGCAACGAUGCAUAGCCGACCUGAGAGGGUGAUCGGCCACACUGGAACUGAGACACGGUCCAGACUCCUACGGGAGGCAGCAGUAGGGAAUCUUCCGCAAAGGGCGAAAGCCUGACGGAGCAACGCCGCGUGAGUGAUGAAGGUCUUCGGAUCGUAAAACUCUGUUAUUAGGGAAGAACAUAUGUGUAAGUAACUGUGCACAUCUUGACGGUACCUAAUCAGAAAGCCACGGCUAACUACGUG